AUUGAACGCUGGCGGCAGGCCUAACACAUGCCAGUCGAGCGGAUGAAGUGAGCUUGCCCCUGGAUUCAGCUUCGGACGGGUGCGUAAUGCCUAUGAAUCUGCCUGGCAGUGGGGGAUAACGUCCGAAAACGGGCGCUAAUACCCCAUACGUCCUGAGGUAGAAAGCGGGUGAUCUUUGGACCUCUCGCUAUCAGAUGAUCCUCGGUCGGAUUAGCUAGUUGGUAGGCUAAAGGCCUACCAAGCCGACUAUCCGUAACUGGUCUGAGAGGAUGAUCAGUCCCACUGGAACUGAGACACGGUCCAGAAUCCUACGGGAGGCAGCAGUGGGGAAUAUUGGACAGUGGGCGGAAGCCUGAUCCAGCCAUGCCGCGUGUGUGAAGAAGGGCUUCGGAUUGUAAAGCACUUUAAGUUGGGAGGACGGGCAGUAAGUUAAUACCUUGCUGUUUUGACGUUACCGACCGAAUAAGCACCGGCUAACUUCGUG
RNAcentral lists this ribosomal RNA (484 nucleotides) under uncultured bacterium. RNAcentral's name for it is "partial 16S ribosomal RNA". It matches the Rfam family "Bacterial small subunit ribosomal RNA", at positions 30 to 507 of the family's 1533-position model. The record is from RNAcentral.